RNAcentral lists this ribosomal RNA (234 nucleotides) under uncultured bacterium. RNAcentral describes it as "partial 16S ribosomal RNA". It matches the Rfam family "Bacterial small subunit ribosomal RNA", at positions 100 to 334 of the family's 1533-position model. The record is from RNAcentral.
CGGGACGGGUGAGUAAUGUCUGGGAAACUGCCUGAUGGCGGGGGAUAACUACUGGAAACGGUAGCUAAUACCGCAUAAUGUCUGCGGACCAAAGCGGGGGGACCUCCGGGCCUCGCGCCAUCAGAUGAACCCAUAUGGGAUUAGCUAGUAGGUAAGGUAACGGCUUACCUAGGCGACGAUCCCUAGCUGGUCUGAGAGGAUGAUCAGCCACACUGGGACUGAGACACGGCCCAG